UACGUAGGGUGCAAGCGUUAAUCGGAAUUACUGGGCGUAAAGCGUGCGCAGGCGGUUCUAUAAGACAGAUGUGAAAUCCCCGGGCUCAACCUGGGAACUGCAUUUGUGACUGUAGAGCUGGAGUGCGGCAGAGGGGGAUGGAAUUCCGGCGUGUAGCAGUGAAAUGCGUAGAUAUGCGGAGGAACACCGAUGGCGAAGGCAACUCCCCUGGGCCUGCACUGACGUCCAUGCACGAAGCGUGGGAGCGAACAACGGA
RNAcentral lists this ribosomal RNA (256 nucleotides) under uncultured bacterium. RNAcentral describes it as "partial 16S ribosomal RNA". It matches the Rfam family "Bacterial small subunit ribosomal RNA", at positions 524 to 777 of the family's 1533-position model. The record is from RNAcentral.